This 656-nucleotide ribosomal RNA is filed under the name uncultured Lachnospiraceae bacterium. RNAcentral's name for it is "bacterial SSU rRNA". It matches the Rfam family "Bacterial small subunit ribosomal RNA", at positions 62 to 718 of the family's 1533-position model. Lineage: Bacteria; Bacillati; Bacillota; Clostridia; Lachnospirales; Lachnospiraceae. The record is from RNAcentral.
UCGAACGAAGCACUUGAAUGGAAUUCUUCGGAAGGAAGCUCAAGUGACUGAGUGGCGGACGGGUGAGUAACGCGUGGGUAACCUGCCUCAUACAGGGGGAUAACAGUUAGAAAUGACUGCUAAUACCGCAUAAGCACACGUGACCGCAUGAUCGAGUGUGAAAAACUCCGGUGGUAUGAGAUGGACCCGCGUCUGAUUAGCUGGUUGGUGGGGUAACGGCCCACCAAGGCGACGAUCAGUAGCCGGCCUGAGAGGGUGAACGGCCACAUUGGGACUGAGACACGGCCCAAACUCCUACGGGAGGCAGCAGUGGGGAAUAUUGCACAAUGGGGGAAACCCUGAUGCAGCGACGCCGCGUGAAGGAUGAAGUAUUUCGGUAUGUAAACUUCUAUCAGCAGGGAAGAAAAUGACGGUACCUGACUAAGAAGCCCCGGCUAACUACGUGCCAGCAGCCGCGGUAAUACGUAGGGGGCAAGCGUUAUCCGGAUUUACUGGGUGUAAAGGGAGCGUAGACGGCAGUGCAAGUCUGAAGUGAAAGCCCGGGGCUCAACCCCGGGACUGCUUUGGAAACUGUGCAGCUAGAGUGUCGGAGAGGCAAGCGGAAUUCCUAGUGUAGCGGUGAAAUGCGUAGAUAUUAGGAGGAACACCAGUGGCGA